AUUGAACGCUGGCGGCAGGCUUAACACAUGCAAGUCGAGCGGUAGCACAGGGGAGCUUGCUCCCUGGGUGACGAGCGGCGGACGGGUGAGUAAUGUCUGGGAAACUGCCUGAUGGAGGGGGAUAACUACUGGAAACGGUAGCUAAUACCGCAUAACGUCGCAAGACCAAAGAGGGGGACCUUCGGGCCUCUUGCCAUCAGAUGUGCCCAGAUGGAUUAGCUAGUAGGUGGGGUAAUGGCUCACCUAGGCGACGAUCCCUAGCUGGUCUGAGAGGAUGACCAGCCACACUGGAACUGAGACACGGUCCAGACUCCUACGGGAGGCAGCAGUGGGGAAUAUUGCACAAUGGGCGCAAGCCUGAUGCAGCCAUGCCGCGUGUGUGAAGAAGGCCUUCGGGUUGUAAAGCACUUUCAGCGAGGAGGAAGGUGGUGAGCUUAAUACGUUCAUCAAUUGACGUUACUCGCAGAAGAAGCACCGGCUAACUCCGUG
This 489-nucleotide ribosomal RNA is filed under the name uncultured bacterium. Its description in RNAcentral is "partial 16S ribosomal RNA". It matches the Rfam family "Bacterial small subunit ribosomal RNA", at positions 30 to 507 of the family's 1533-position model. The record is from RNAcentral.